UACGGAGGGGACUAGCGUUGUUCGGAAUUACUGGGCGUAAAGCGCACGCAGGCGGAUUUGUAAGUCAGGGGUGAAAUCCCGGGGCUCAACCUCGGAACUGCCUUUGAUACUGCAAAUCUCGAGUCCGGAAGAGGUGAGUGGAAUUCCUAGUGUAGAGGUGAAAUUCGUAGAUAUUAGGAAGAACACCAGUGGCGAAGGCGGCUCACUGGUCCGGUACUGACGCUGAGGUGCGAAAGCGUGGGGAGCAAACGGG
RNAcentral lists this ribosomal RNA (253 nucleotides) under uncultured bacterium. Its description in RNAcentral is "partial 16S ribosomal RNA". It matches the Rfam family "Bacterial small subunit ribosomal RNA", at positions 524 to 776 of the family's 1533-position model. The record is from RNAcentral.